UACGGAGGGGACUAGCGUUGUUCGGAAUUACUGGGCGUAAAGCGCACGUAGGCGGAUUUGUAAGUCAGGGGUGAAAUCCCGGGGCUCAGCCUCGGAACUGCCUUUGAUACUGCAAAUCUCGAGUCCGGAAGAGGUGAGUGGAAUUCCUAGUGUAGAGGUGAAAUUCGUAGAUAUUAGGAAGAACACCUGCGGCGAAGGCGGCCUUCUGGACGAUGACUGACGCUGAGACGCGAAAGCGUGGGGAGCAAACAGG
This 253-nucleotide ribosomal RNA is filed under the name uncultured bacterium. RNAcentral describes it as "partial 16S ribosomal RNA". It matches the Rfam family "Bacterial small subunit ribosomal RNA", at positions 524 to 776 of the family's 1533-position model. The record is from RNAcentral.